AAAGUCAAACUCAAAUGGACUUGUCAUUUUUGUCAUUUUGUGGUACGUCAAAUAUGGAGGAGGAUCGUCUUUUCGACGAAAGAAUUUCAAUCCGGGAAUCUGCCCGUCCGCUCAAGAAAUACGGGAGCACAUGCAACCACAUGAAAAGGAACGAGGAAUACAUCAAACAUGUAAUGGCAAAAGGCGAUACGUUACAAGGGAUUGCAUUAAAAUAUGGUGUCACAAUGGAGAAGAUAAGGCGGGCUAAUCGUCUAUUUGCGUCGGAUAGUUUGUUUUUGAGAGAGUAUUUGUUGAUUCCUGUAACCAAGGAGUCUCCAUUCUAUGAGAAUGGAGAGAGAGUAACAGAACCUGCGCCGCCCAGCCACCGCGCGUCGAUCGCAGGGAUGCCAACCAGGGACUUCUCACCUGGAAGUCCUGAUGAGAAAGAGUCAUUUGACAACUUUCUCAAUAGACUGGACUCUUCCAUUGCUAACAUCAAGAAACAUGUAGAAAAAUCUAAGGAGAAUAGCGAGUUCGUCAAAGACCUAGAAGACGGUUUCGUGAGGCACCGGCCGACGGCUCGGCUGAGGCAGUCACAGUCAAUGGGCGCGUCGACGUCGUACAACGAGGUCAUCCCCCCGCCCCUGCCGCCUCCGCCCUCGGCGUUGACCCAGGGCCGCAGGGUCGACAGCUCGCUCAAACGACUCGAGAGAGCCCACGACGACUUGUUCCAGUUGUAGCGGCCGAGACAGCGCAGGUAUGCGCGGUUAGAAUGAGCGGGAUGCUUCCCCGCUGUGACGUCACAGCGCCCGAAGGAUCUCCCAUCUCGGCACGCUAGUGUUGUAUACGAAACGAUCGUAUGAACUGAAAGUACAUGCUUGGUGUUACACUUUCACGGCAAGUGAUAUUAGGUAAUAAAUUGUACUGUAAUGAUCUGUUUUGUUGAUUGGGCCACGUUGGUACUGACAGGUGGCUAGCUUAGAGCCUAGGGUCUCUGUUCACUGCGGAAGCGGAACCGAUCGAAACGGGAUAUUAUGUUAAGCACUUGUCAGACUAAUCAGAUUUAUUUUUAUAAUGUAUGACGUGAUAAUAUCUUUUCAUAUCGUAGAUGGGUAUAUCUAUUACCUAUAAUCGGAGAGGAGAAGAGAUGCGUUUAGUCGACCAAUCAGAUUCAUAACA
Molecule: RNA transcript, 1158 nt
Organism: Maniola jurtina (meadow brown)
Lineage: Eukaryota; Metazoa; Arthropoda; Insecta; Lepidoptera; Nymphalidae
Gene: red
Gene name: lysM and putative peptidoglycan-binding domain-containing protein 2
Exons: 5
Source: RefSeq, a predicted model, not a curated record